This 492-nucleotide ribosomal RNA is filed under the name uncultured bacterium. Its description in RNAcentral is "partial 16S ribosomal RNA". It matches the Rfam family "Bacterial small subunit ribosomal RNA", at positions 29 to 507 of the family's 1533-position model. The record is from RNAcentral.
AGUGAACGCUGGCGGUAGGCCUAACACAUGCAAGUCGAACGGCAGCACAGUAAGAGCUUGCUCUUACGGGUGGCGAGUGGCGGACGGGUGAGUAAUACAUCGGAAUCUACUUUUUCGUGGGGGAUAACGUAGGGAAACUUACGCUAAUACCGCAUACGACCUAUGGGUGAAAGCAGGGGAUCUUCGGACCUUGCGCGAUUGAAUGAGCCGAUGUCGGAUUAGCUAGUUGGCGGGGUAAAGGCCCACCAAGGCGACGAUCCGUAGCUGGUCUGAGAGGAUGAUCAGCCACACUGGAACUGAGACACGGUCCAGACUCCUACGGGAGGCAGCAGUGGGGAAUAUUGGACAAUGGGCGCAAGCCUGAUCCAGCCAUACCGCGUGGGUGAAGAAGGCCUUCGGGUUGUAAAGCCCUUUUGUUGGGAAAGAAAAGCAGCAGGUUAAUACCCCGCUGUUCUGACGGUACCCAAAGAAUAAGCACCGGCUAACUUCGUG